CGGGGCGUAGCUCAGCCUGGUAGAGCGCUUGCUUUGGGAGCAAGAAGUCGCAAGUUCGAAUCUUGUCGCCCCGA
Molecule: transfer RNA, 74 nt
Filed under: Zavarzinia compransoris
Lineage: Bacteria; Pseudomonadati; Pseudomonadota; Alphaproteobacteria; Rhodospirillales; Zavarziniaceae
Also listed under: 1 other name
Rfam family: tRNA
About the family: Transfer RNA (tRNA) molecules are approximately 80 nucleotides in length.
Source: Rfam by way of RNAcentral